CAGACUUGUUCGUGGUACUUGACUAACAUCAACACCUUGUAUCGCUCGUGACAGGUUAGUAAACUAAACAUUUCUGUCACUAGUGUUUUUGUUGUUGAUUCGCCAUUGUCAGUUUACCUAAAGUCUAAUAAGGGGAUGCAGACCUAUUAGAAGCACAAGAAACUUGAGAAAAAUCCUGUGUUUUGAAACCCGUCAACUGACACCCUCCCUCACACCAAAGGCUGCAGGAUGUCAUCAAAUAGCACUGUGAAGAAGGAGCGGGGCUCUUGUGGGUCCUCUGGAGUAAAGUACCGCUUCUCAUCUCCUCUUGGUUAUAUCAUCAUAACAGCUUGUGCUAAAGGCUUGCAUGCAGUGGAACUGGCAGGAAAUAUAUCUGAUGAGAAUUUUUCUCCAAAUGAAAGUGAAAAUAUCUGGGCUUCAAAACUGCCCAUAACAAAAUUAUCAAGAACAUUGUAAGAAUCCUACAUGGGCCACUGGUCUCCUUCCCUCAGCAUGGCCACCUCUAGUGGGUGGCCAAUAGGUAAGGUCGGACUGAGGUGCAGCUAUUGCAAGAAGAUGAUACAAGUAAUCUACCAAAAGUGAUUCAGGAAAGUCUUACGUGGUUCCAGGUGUUCUUCAAGGAUCCAGAGCUUGUGGCUACUGUGCCCAGGCCAGAAAUAUGUUGCUUCAAACAAUCAAGUCUU
This is a long non-coding RNA of Homarus americanus (American lobster), 683 nucleotides long. RefSeq lists it as uncharacterized. Lineage: Eukaryota; Metazoa; Arthropoda; Malacostraca; Decapoda; Nephropidae. The record is from RefSeq and is a predicted model, not a curated record. The transcript has 4 exons.